Molecule: transfer RNA, 90 nt
Filed under: Stutzerimonas stutzeri
Lineage: Bacteria; Pseudomonadati; Pseudomonadota; Gammaproteobacteria; Pseudomonadales; Pseudomonadaceae
Description: Pseudomonas stutzeri tRNA-Ser
Rfam family: tRNA
About the family: Transfer RNA (tRNA) molecules are approximately 80 nucleotides in length.
Source: RNAcentral
GGUGAGAUGGCCGAGUGGCUGAAGGCUGCGGUCUUGAAAACCGCCGCGGGCGCGAGUCCGCCGUGGGUUCGAAUCCCACUCUCACCGCCA